This 430-nucleotide ribosomal RNA is filed under the name uncultured bacterium. Its description in RNAcentral is "bacterial SSU rRNA". It matches the Rfam family "Bacterial small subunit ribosomal RNA", at positions 355 to 776 of the family's 1533-position model. The record is from RNAcentral.
UGGGGAAUAUUGGACAAUGGGCGCAAGCCUGAUCCAGCAAUGCCGCGUGUGUGAAGAAGGCCUGCGGGUUGUAAAGCACUUUUGUCCGGAAAGAAAUUGUCCGAGUUAAUACCUUGGGCGGAUGACGGUACCGGAAGAAUAAGCACCGGCUAACUUCGUGCCAGCAGCCGCGGUAAUACGAAGGGUGCAAGCGUUAAUCGGACUUACUGGGCGUAAAGGGUGCGUAGGUGGUCUGUUAAGUCGGAUGUGAAAUCCCCGGGCUCAACCUGGGAAUGGCAUCUGAUACUGGCGGACUUGGAGUCUUGGAGAGGGUGGUGGAAUUCCUGGUGUAGCGGUGAAAUGCGUAGAGAUCAGGAGGAACACUAGUGGCGAAGGCGGCCACCUGGCCAAAGACUGACGCUGAGGCACGAAAGCGUGGGGAGCAAACAGG